UGAUAGCCAGGCUGCAGGAUCGUUCCAUGCAGAGUCUCCACCUUUUUUCCUGAACGCGGAAGUGUUCCACGAUUCGACUGUUUUCAAUUUCCGGUCUCCAGUGUUUUCAAUCGCAUAGGCAUACAUUCUAAGCGGAAAUGCCCCACAAGCCAUAUUCCACUCCUGGAGAAUAUUUUAUUCCUCCUUGGAGCAGAUUCUGUCAUCACACCGAGGAACCAUCCUGUACUGUCUCCAAUCUCAACGUCCCAGCAUUUCUUGCAUCUUCUGUAACACAGAAAACUGCAGAUUGCUGAGGUGUUUUGGCACAUUGAUCAGCACUCCUGAAAAGUUCUCUGGAUCCAGCAGUCUACACUGGGCUCUGGAAAAACAUUCAAGAGUCAAAGAUGCUGAAUGACCAAUUCCCAAUGUGCUCCAAAUACUCGUGAUGGCGUAGUGGCUUGCCUCAAUCCGGGUGGCGGAGGACGAAACUCAGCUGCCUCCACGUCUGAGACAGUCAAUCCACGCAUUUUAUCACAUGGCUUGUUGAGCGUGUUACCGCGUUGAGUGUGUUACCGCGGAGACAUAGCGUGUGUAGAGGCUCACGGUAUUCUCCGCGGCCUCCACCCACAACUCACCACACUGAGAGCGAGAACCACAUUAUAGCGACCAAGAGGAGGUUAACCCAAUGCGACUCUACCCACCCCCAGUGUUUUUAAAGAUUUCCUGUUUCAGUGGC
Xyrauchen texanus (razorback sucker) is the source of this 715-nucleotide long non-coding RNA. RefSeq lists it as uncharacterized. NCBI's taxonomy places the organism in Eukaryota, Metazoa, Chordata, Actinopteri, Cypriniformes, Catostomidae. The transcript has 4 exons. The record is from RefSeq and is a predicted model, not a curated record.